UACGAAGGGGGCUAGCGUUGCUCGGAAUCACUGGGCGUAAAGCGCACGUAGGCGGAUUGCUAAGUCAGGGGUGAAAUCCUGGAGCUCAACUCCAGAACUGCCCUUGAUACUGGCGACCUUGAGUCCGGGAGAGGUGAGUGGAACUGCGAGUGUAGAGGUGAAAUUCGUAGAUAUUCGCAAGAACACCAGUGGCGAAGGCGGCUCACUGGCCCGGUACUGACGCUGAGGUGCGAAAGCGUGGGGAGCAAACAGG
RNAcentral lists this ribosomal RNA (253 nucleotides) under uncultured bacterium. RNAcentral's name for it is "partial 16S ribosomal RNA". It matches the Rfam family "Bacterial small subunit ribosomal RNA", at positions 524 to 776 of the family's 1533-position model. The record is from RNAcentral.